RNAcentral lists this ribosomal RNA (480 nucleotides) under uncultured bacterium. RNAcentral describes it as "bacterial SSU rRNA". It matches the Rfam family "Bacterial small subunit ribosomal RNA", at positions 29 to 523 of the family's 1533-position model. The record is from RNAcentral.
AAUGAACGCUGGCGGCAGGCCUAACACAUGCAAGUCGAACGGGUCCUUCGGGACUAGUGGCGGACGGGUGAGUAACGCGUGGGAACGUACCUUUUGCUUCGGAAUAGCCUCGGGAAACUGGGAGUAAUACCGAAUGUGCCCUACGGGGGAAAGAUUUAUCGGCAAAAGAUCGGCCCGCGUUGGAUUAGGUAGUUGGUGGGGUAAUGGCCUACCAAGCCGACGAUCCAUAGCUGGUUUGAGAGGAUGAUCAGCCACACUGGGACUGAGACACGGUCCAGACUCCUACGGGAGGCAGCAGUGGGGAAUUUUGGACAAUGGGGGGCAACCCUGAUCCAGCAAUGCCGCGUGAGUGAAGAAGGCCUUCGGGUUGUUAAAGGACUCUUUUGUCUAGGGAAGAAACGGUGAGUUCUAAUACAGCUUGCUAAUGACGGUACCUGAAGAAUAAGACACCGGCUAACUACGUGCCAGCAGCCGCGGUAA